This 72-nucleotide transfer RNA is filed under the name Dipodomys ordii (Ord's kangaroo rat). It matches the Rfam family "tRNA". Rfam says of the family: Transfer RNA (tRNA) molecules are approximately 80 nucleotides in length. The record is from Rfam by way of RNAcentral. Lineage: Eukaryota; Metazoa; Chordata; Mammalia; Rodentia; Heteromyidae.
GGGGAUGUGGCUUAGUGGUACAGUGCUUGCCUAGCAUGCAUGAAGCCCUGGGUUCAGUUCCUCAGUACCCCA